AGUGAACGCUGGCGGCAGGCCUAACACAUGCAAGUCGAACGGCAGCACGGCAGUAGCAAUACUGUGGGUGGCGAGUGGCGGACGGGUGAGGAAUACAUCGGGAUCUACCCUGUUGUGGGGGAUAACGUAGGGAAACUUACGCUAAUACCGCAUAAGAACUGAGGUUGAAAGCGGCGGACCGCAAGGCGUCGCGCGAUUGGAUGAACCGAUGUCCGAUUAGCUAGUUGGCGGGGUAAAGGCCCACCAAGGCGACGAUCGGUAGCUGGUCUGAGAGGACGACCAGCCACACUGGAACUGAGACACGGUCCAGACUCCUACGGGAGGCAGCAGUGGGGAAUAUUGGACAAUGGGCGCAAGCCUGAUCCAGCCAUGCCGCGUGGGUGAAGAAGGCCUCGGUUG
This 399-nucleotide ribosomal RNA is filed under the name uncultured bacterium. Its description in RNAcentral is "bacterial SSU rRNA". It matches the Rfam family "Bacterial small subunit ribosomal RNA", at positions 30 to 425 of the family's 1533-position model. The record is from RNAcentral.